RNA transcript from Dreissena polymorpha, 2231 nucleotides. RefSeq lists it as uncharacterized. NCBI's taxonomy places the organism in Eukaryota, Metazoa, Mollusca, Bivalvia, Myida, Dreissenidae. The transcript has 8 exons. The record is from RefSeq and is a predicted model, not a curated record.
AAUAAUAGCGUUAUCUUAAUGCUAUUCUGUUUGCAGUCCAAAGUAGUUAAUGUGAUGUUGAAACUCAGUGAAUAUACUAUUUAAAGUGAUUAAAUUGCAAUGCAUAUUUUCAAAAGAUUGGGAUUUACACAUGCAAGGAUAAAAUCAUACGUUAAUAAUUUCACGGUAGUAGUGUAGAAGUGAUAGACUUACUACAAAAUAAUUAGUAUAUGUGAAAUUACCAGCAAUGUGGAUAGCGAUAAUGAAGAUUUUCUUGUUCCUUAUUGCGAUGCAAAGAUUAUGGUGUGGUGCCUCUGCUAACGAAGAUAAUUAUAAGGACUAUGAAUUGUACCCUACCUCAAAAUCGUCUUGCAACAGAAACUGUCAAAAAUGCAUCGCUGAAAGAUGUGAAAGCUGCAAACAAGGGCGGUAUGGGCGGAACUGUUCACAGCUAUGUCCAAUAACUUGCGAGCAUGACGUUUGCGAUAUGCAAACUGGCGACUGCACUUCCGGGUGUCGAUUUGGUUAUUAUGGGGAGAAAUGCCAAUACAGCUGCUUUAAACAAUGCUUGUUAAAACCGCAUGUCUGUCUCAAAAGGUGUUUCUCUGGGUGUAGCGAUGGUUAUUCUGGUCCGCAAUGUGAAUGUAAACCGCCUUGUCUCGAAUGCGAUUCUACUGGAGAAUGCUUAAGGUGCCCACUCGGCAAGUUUGGGCUAACCUGCGAAAAGUAUUGCUCGCGUAACUGUAAACACGGGAUUUGUGACGUUAGAAAUGGCUCGUGCUCCAGUGGAUGUGAUGGCGACUUUUACGGCCAGCAUUGUAACAUUACAUGUCCUGGCACUUGUAGCAAGAUCAAAUACGGACCUUCCUGUCAUGACGAGAGUGGGGCGUGCUUAUUGGACUGUCCGGUCGGGUUUUAUGGCCUACGAUGUGCAAACGUGUGCCACCAUUGUGUGGACGACAUAUGCAUGAAGGAUGACGGUGUCUGCACUUAUGGGUGCAUUAAGGGAUACAGCUAUGACGAUGUUGGCAAAAUGUGCAUAGCAGGUACCAACGACACGUUUAUGGAUCGCAGCAGCGCCCUUGUGUCUUCCACUUCUACAGUCGGUGUCGUACUCGGAGUUGUUUCGGGAGUUGUCGUGCUUAUUGGCUGCGUGGUCAUGGCAGCUAUUUGUUACAGAAGAAAGGGGCAAAAAACUUUUUAAUGACUCGGAAGUGCACCCUCCUGUUGAGUUGCCAGCCAUUUCUAAUUCCACGUACGAAAUGUUUGAAGAUAUGUCUGGAAAGCGACCCGCGAAUAAUAACAAGUUUCCAGCACUGGGUGCCCAGAUUCAAAGACUUCUCGGGAAAAACAACACAACCUCACCAAGUGUUUCAAAUUUAGGAUGCGUGAGCGAAAACUUUGGAAGCCCUGAUGUAGAUGUUAACUACAUUACACCGAUCAACAGUAACAUGUACGACAGUAUAGACGGGGAUCAAGAAACGUCCGUGGCUCCGAUAGGACUGGUUCAUAAUUCAGCUCCGUCAUCAAACACAGCAAAGUCCCCGAGUAUAUUCUUUCGAGAGCCAGGUACCAUCCAUCCUAACAUCGAAACACACAGAGAGUAUCACAACGUCGAUUUACCGGUUUCUCAAGUUAGAACAACAAACAGUCUAAUGAUCCCGUCCACAUCCGACGGGUACGAAGCUGUCGGGUACGAAGGAAACAUUUACACAGACCCGGACAAUCUUGUGUUUUAAUCGAGCAAGAAAUAGACAGUGUUUUUGACUUUCUACUAUAUCCACACACGCAAGUGUUGGACCUUUCAAGACAGCGAAUACAAUUGGGAGUAUACUACCUAAAGUUACGUCACUGACAAAAUAGUCAAUACCUACUGUGCAGCCUACGUGCAAAAAAACUCAGUAAGCAAGUCACGAACAGAUAACAAUAAAGCGCCACUUAAGUUUGGUGGGGAUGGUGGAGACAAAUUAAAUACCGGUUAACACCAGCCGGCUUAAAUAUCAACUUGGGCUUUAAUGUGCGAAAACGUGGAGUGCUUACGGUACAAUUAGGCUUAUUAUCCAUGGCAUCAAACAUUAUAUAGUUAUACACAAUGUGUGCAAGUUUGGUCGAGAUUUAAUGUAAAAUAGCGUUCCUUGCUAUUCCUAUCAAUUAAGAGUUGACGCGUUGUGGACGUCGGAUUUAUUUUCGGAGUACACUUUUUAAAGUAAUGUAUUCAAUAAAAUACCUUAUCGUGCAGCUUACUUGCAAAA